Molecule: ribosomal RNA, 348 nt
Filed under: uncultured bacterium
Lineage: Bacteria
Description: bacterial SSU rRNA
Rfam family: Bacterial small subunit ribosomal RNA
Source: RNAcentral
CUAGCGACUUCAGAGUUUGAUCCUGGCUCAGGAUGAACGCUGGCGGCGUGCCUAACACAUUCAAGUCGAACGGAGUUAGAUUGGAAGCUUGCUUUUGAUCUAACUUAGUGGCGGACGGGUGAGUAAUGCAUGAGCAACCAGCCUUAAAGAGGGGGAUAACACAGAGAAAUUUGUGCUAAUACCGCAUGUUUUAUGACGAGGGCAUCCUCGACAUAAUAAAGGAGCAAUCCGCUUUAAGAUGGGCUCAUGUCUGAUUAGAUAGUUGGUGAGGUAACGGCUCACCAAGUCUACGAUCAGUAGCCGGACUGAGAGGUUGAACGGCCACAUUGGAACUGAGAUACGGUCCAG